CUAUGGGCUUACAAGAGAAGAUACGGCAACAGAACUCUGAGUACAAACUGAAAUGUCCAUGUAUGUAACUAAGCCUGGGUUUAGAUAUCUAAGAGUGUCAACAGUGCUUAUCUGGUGGCAUUAACCUCUGAGGACAAAGAAAGCGAGGCAGGUGCUGUUUUAUUCUUUGUACCCAAAAGAUACUGGCCAUGUUUCUUACUAUGUUUAAAGUUGCUCCGCUCUGUCCAUGUCAGUGCCCUUAACAAAACUGAAUAUUGAAGAUUUUUUUUUCUGAUGAACUAUUCAUCAAUUGAACUAAAGGGGAAGCCAUACAAAAUAAUCUGAUGAUUUUUCUUUUAUUUGUAAAGAAGUACAAUUUUAAAACUAACACUGAACUUUGCAAAUAUGAUGCUUAUUUCUGAGGACCUCAGAAAUUCUACUUAACCCCUAUUCAGACGUGUAAUUGAAUGUAGCUACAAAAAGGAAGCUUCCGCUGCAGAGGACCAGAAAGGGACAACAAUGCACUCUUCUGGAUAAUUUGAAGAGCAGAGAUUUGCAACAAUUCAAAAUUAUUCAAAGGUUUGACACUUACUGAAAUGGACUCCACGGAAACAAGCGCUAAUAUGAACACGCCAGGAAGGCCGGGCAACCAGGACAUGAGUGACACGAGAAACCGCCAUCCUGAGACCACUCACCGGGACCCGCAGUGGACUCUGGCUGGCAAGAAAUAAAUUCUGUUGUGUUAAACCUG
Long non-coding RNA from Chinchilla lanigera (long-tailed chinchilla), 730 nucleotides. RefSeq lists it as uncharacterized. The record is from RefSeq and is a predicted model, not a curated record. NCBI's taxonomy places the organism in Eukaryota, Metazoa, Chordata, Mammalia, Rodentia, Chinchillidae. The transcript has 2 exons.